AGCUAAAUCAAUCCAUCGGUCAUCCAUUCAGAGUUUAGCCUCAGCUUCAGCCGACACUCUUCCGUCUUCACUCAUUUCAUUUUCUUCUUCUGCUUCUCGACCUCCUUUGUCCAUCUCUUCAAUUUUGUCAAGUUGAACUCAAGCCUGCAAGCCUCAGCCCUCAAGCAGACGAUUCAACAGUGUUUCGAUUUCGAUUUCUCAAGCCUCAAGCAGAAGCUGUAAAACGCCGACCUUCUUCAUCUGCAAGUUUGGACCUUCUUUAAUUGAUGGCUAUCCAGCUUCUUCAGGUGAUGGUGUAUAUUACGUGUAGGUUUGGACUUUAUUAAAAUUUUGGUUGGAGUGAUUACAGUACACUACUCCUUGCUCGAUGCUAGGAGGUGUGAAAUUGUUGUUACAAUACCUCUUUUGAUGGCUUUCUAUAUUCUUGGCACUUCCACUCCUUGUGUUAAUAUUGCUUCGACACAAUACCUCUGUUUAGGUCCCUGUUAUGUGUUUGGCAAUUCUCCAGCUUCUCUAUGCUCCUUGCACAAUCAAUCUGUUUUGUUAAUCAUUUUGAUUACGCACUUCAGGCAGUUGCUUUUGGUUUUUGAUAGGGUACUCCGUGACUCUGGCCUUCCUACUUAAUACUACUGUGCCAUAAUACAGAGUGGUCAGGGGUUGAAGUACCAUUCCCUAAUGAUGCAAUUAUCUUUUCUUUAA
RNAcentral lists this long non-coding RNA (699 nucleotides) under Coffea arabica (coffee). RNAcentral's name for it is "long non-coding RNA (CARA_LNC001045)". The record is from RNAcentral. Lineage: Eukaryota; Viridiplantae; Streptophyta; Magnoliopsida; Gentianales; Rubiaceae.